This 109-nucleotide transfer RNA is filed under the name Pseudocercospora eumusae. RNAcentral's name for it is "Mycosphaerella eumusae tRNA". It matches the Rfam family "tRNA". From Rfam's summary of the family: Transfer RNA (tRNA) molecules are approximately 80 nucleotides in length. Their secondary structure includes four short double-helical elements and three loops (D, anti-codon, and T loops). Lineage: Eukaryota; Fungi; Ascomycota; Dothideomycetes; Mycosphaerellales; Mycosphaerellaceae. The record is from Rfam by way of RNAcentral.
GCUGCGGUGGCCGAGUGGUCUAAGGCGGUAGAUUUAAGUUCUUGCACCAAACAAAACACUUGAAACUCUACUCUCGAGAGAGGCGCGCGUUCGAACCGCGUCCGCAGCA